CUGUCUGAAUAUGGGGGGACCAUCCUCCAAGGCUAAAUACUCCUGACUGACCGAUAGUGAACCAGUACCGUGAGGGAAAGGCGAAAAGAACCCCGGCGAGGGGAGUGAAAAAGAACCUGAAACCGUGUACGUACAAGCAGUGGGAGCACGCUUAGGCGUGUGACUGCGUACCUUUUGUAUAAUGGGUCAGCGACUUAUAUUCUGUAGCAAGGUUAACCGAAUAGGGGAGCCGAAGGGAAACCGAGUCUUAACUGGGCGUUAAGUUGCAGGGUAUAGACCCGAAACCCGGUGAUCUAGCCAUGGGCAGGUUGAAGGUUGGGUAACACUAACUGGAGGACUGAACCGACUAAUGUUGAAAAAUUAGCGGAUGACUUGUGGCUGGGGGUGAAAGGCCAAUCAAACCGGGAGAUAGCUGGUUCUCCCCGAAAGCUAUUUAGGUAGCGCCUCGUGAAUUCAUCUCCGGGGGUAGAGCACUGUUUCGGCAAGGGGGUCAUCCCGACUUACCAACCCGAUGCAAACUGCGAAUACCGGAGAAUGUUAUCACGGGAGACACACGGCGGGUGCUAACGUCCGUCGUGAAGAGGGAAACAACCCAGACCGCCAGCUAAGGUCCCAAAGUCAUGGUUAAGUGGGAAACGAUGUGGGAAGGCCCAGACAGCCAGGAUGUUGGCUUAGAAGCAGCCAUCAUUUAAAGAAAGCGUAAUAGCUCACUGGUCGAGUCGGCCUGCGCGGAAGAUGUAACGGGGCUAAACCAUGCACCGAAGCUGCGGCAGCGACGCUGAUGCGUUGUUGGGUAGGGGAGCGUUCUGUAAGCCUGCGAAGGUGUGCUGUGAGGCAUGCUGGAGGUAUCAGAAGUGCGAAUGCUGACAUAAGUAACGAUAAAGCGGGUGAAAAGCCCGCUCGCCGGAAGACCAAGGGUUCCUGUCCAACGUUAAUCGGGGCAGGGUGAGUCGACCCCUAAGGCGAGGCCGAAAGGCGUAGUCGAUGGGAAACAGGUUAAUAUUCCUGUACUUGGUGUUACUGCGAAGGGGGGACGGAGAAGGCUAUGUUGGCCGGGCGACGGUUGUCCCGGUUUAAGCGUGUAGGCUGGUUUUCCAGGCAAAUCCGGAAAAUCAAGGCUGAGGCGUGAUGACGAGGCACUACGGUGCUGAAGCAACAAAUGCCCUGCUUCCAGGAAAAGCCUCUAAGCAUCAGGUAACAUCAAAUCGUACCCCAAACCGACACAGGUGGUCAGGUAGAGAAUACCAAGGCGCUUGAGAGAACUCGGGUGAAGGAACUAGGCAAAAUGGUGCCGUAACUUCGGGAGAAGGCACGCUG
RNAcentral lists this ribosomal RNA (1317 nucleotides) under Listeria monocytogenes. RNAcentral describes it as "partial 23S ribosomal RNA". It matches the Rfam family "Bacterial large subunit ribosomal RNA", at positions 434 to 1753 of the family's 2925-position model. The record is from RNAcentral. Lineage: Bacteria; Bacillati; Bacillota; Bacilli; Caryophanales; Listeriaceae.